UGAAGGCAGGAGGUCAUGAUCAUUGCCAUAUCCCUCCAGGGCCCGUCACAGGGCCAGGCACGUAGUAAGCCCUUAAUACUCGAAGAAUGAAUGGGGACAACCUUCACCCAGUGGGAAAUACCAGUCACUGGAUAAGCUCCCAGGAAUCUCAGCCUUUGGAGAGACAACUGUAAGGCUCUCUUGGCACCUCUCAGUCAUGACAGUAAUGUUACCACAGUAGAAGUCAGCUUACAAUCUGUCACCUGCCCUGGAGUGUAGGCUUCCACCCAGGAGAGGCCAUCUUAUUCAUUAUUGGACAUCUAGUAAGGAUAUUCACUGUUGGGACCCAUGCCAUGAGGAAGCCCAGGCCACACUGAGAGGCCCACGUGGAACCAAGCCCAAAGUCCUGAGCUCCAGGCCCUGGCUGAGCUCCAGCUGAAAACCAGCACCAACCUGCCAGCCGUGCAAGUGAGCAAUCCCGGAAGUGGGUAAUCCACCCAGUGAUGCCUGUACAGCAGAGACAAGUCUUCCCUUCCAAGCCCUGCCCAGGUUACAGACUCAUGGACAAAAUAAAUUAUUGUGUUGUUUUAACCCA
Long non-coding RNA from Neofelis nebulosa (Clouded leopard), 574 nucleotides. RefSeq lists it as uncharacterized. The transcript is spliced from 4 exons. NCBI's taxonomy places the organism in Eukaryota, Metazoa, Chordata, Mammalia, Carnivora, Felidae. The record is from RefSeq and is a predicted model, not a curated record.